UCGGCCGGGGGGGGGCAGAGAGAGACCCCGAUGGCCGGGAAGGACCUGGUGUGAGCGAGCUCAGGGCUGUCGCUUUCUCCUGGACAGGACGCUUCUGUAUGGCUUCUCCGGAUUUGUCAUACCUUUGGGAGGACAGUUCAGUGUGUGUCCCUGUCUAGUAUGUUGUCUCUGACUGUGUGUCUGUGUAGGAGAGAGAGAGUGUAUGGGUGUGUGAGAGAGAGAGAGAGAGAAGGAGGGAGGGAGCGGGGUGCAGUGUUACCACUGGUGGCGGCUGGCUCUGUUGAAUUCCGCUUCCAGCCCUCAAGAGUUUCCCGGCUGAGCCUCUGGGCACCCUGAGUUGGGACCGAGGUGGCCGGUGCAGCUGGAGGCGGGGGUGGGGCUAGCCUACAUAGCCGCUUAAGCCCGGACUGCUGGGGCAAAGCGAUUAUUGGUGUGUUGUGUGUGUGUGCGUGCAUGCGUGUGUGUGUGUGUGUGUGUGUGUGUGUGUGUGUGUAGGUGGGUGAGACUGAGCUCACAGCUCUUAGUGGCUGCAGGUUUCUCAACUGCCCUGAGAAGAGCCAAAAAUUUGCCCGUGGCGUUUCCGUCCCUUUCCUUGUGAGAUUCACUCCCCGUUGCUGACCUGGAUCCGUGCAUUUACUCUAAGAUGCUGGGCUCCUAAAUUGCUUCUCUUCCUAGGGGUGCCUCAGCUCUAAUGGUGGGAUUUCAGUCCGCGUGGGGGUGGGGUGGGGAUAGUUUGGGAUGUAGGGAGCUUCCUGGCGCUGCCUUGGUGACAUGGACAAAUUGAGAUUUCUGACCUUGUGUUUGACAAAUGAGUCACCUGUAAUCACACUUAUUCUCCCCUGCAUAAACUGAAGCAAGAGGAAAAGCUUCCAGCUGCACCACCUGUGCCCGGAGGCUCUUCAGAGGGUUAAUUCUAAUAAGAGCAGUGAGUGUGAAGUCAGGGGAUGAAAUGUUCCAGAACUGGCAUGCUGUCCAGAUCGGUGCCCUGCAGGCUCCGCGGCCCUUGCUGCGGUGAUCUGCUUGGAGCGCCCCGGACGCCGUGCUGCGGGGUCUGCUGUGGGUCAUGGCCAAGGCUGAUCCACAGUGUCUGGGAACUGGGAUUUGAACACUGGUCUUUGGGGCAUCAUGGCUGCCCGAGACGGAGCCCUUCUCGAACAUGGUGCCAGCCUCAGCCAGCUCUCAGCCACUUCCCCUCCAGCUGCCCUUCUUCCAAAACAGUUUGGGGAAGACACAGCUGACUGACCCCACACCCAACGCCGUGGCUUGGAGGUGCACCCACAGACGGUACCCCACAGUGCCUCACGUCAGUCUGGGCACAACAGGACCUCAGCACCUCAGUGUCCUGCUCCAGAACCGUGGAACUGAAGACCCACAGAGCAGCCUUGCACCCCGCCGUGACACCUUGGGCUACAUCACGGCACAGGUGAACCACCAAUCCUAGACCCUCAAGUUCCAGGCACAUAGUAGGUCCUCCAUCAUGUCUUGCCAAGUGGAUGAAAGGAGCCAGGCCUCCCCAUCUGGCCCAAUGACAAGCUAGCUCGUUCAGCAGCUCAUGGCUCCCAUCCAGGCAUCUGCUUCUCUUGAUUUCACUGGAGCAGACAACCCAUCGCUCAGCCACAGGUUGGUGGGGACAGGGACAGGUGCCUGAUGUGGGGAGAUGGUCCUGGGCUUUGAGGAUUGGACACAGGCCCUGAGUUGAUGAAGAAGCGAUUUCGCACGGAGGCCUCUUUCUGGUGCUGUCAGAAGGGAAGAUGCCACGCUCGGCACUCUCCUGAGCUGGAAUGCUGUCAGAACCAACCACCCAGACCCCGCUUUGGUUGCCAUUUCAUGCCGGAAGAUAUUCCUUCUUGUUCGGCAGCAGCUCUCGGAUGUGGCUUUUAAUAUGCUCGCUGCCGUGUCAUCGAUUUCUCCCCUCAAGCAGUGGAAAGAAUCGUCAGGGGCUGGGAUAGUCGGCUGUUGGGGAAUCAAGAAAUUUGCCCCACAGUCAGUCUUGCAAAAACCCUGGUAUCUUUUUAUCAAAUGUGAACAUUUGAUGGAGCCCGAUUAUUCUAGAUGCUGACUGUACAGACAAGUCAUGUUUCUUAGAAUCAAAGGAAUGGUUUUCGUUGGCGUUAUUGGGUCACAGAGAAAGACUGUGAAUCUUGGCCCUCAUUACAAGCAAAAAACAAACAACUUGCUGUACACCUUCAUUCAAGAGCGAGCAUGGCUCAGGUUGGAAAAGCAGACUUUUGUUCAGCCCAUCUCUUUUGACAGCUGGCUAAAAAAACGUCCACUCAGUGGCCUUGGCUUGAUUGCACUUGUAAUAUUCUCAAUUUCUCUCGGCACUGAAUGAAAAUCUGGAAGCACAUUGUUGCCUGCCAGCUGCUCACUGUGAAUCAGCUCUGAGCACUGGCAUUCCCAAGCAAGUGCCUCCAUCCACGUAGCUCUGCCCUUCCUAGCAGCCUACAUGGCAACGGAGAGUCGGUCUUCACCUCAGUGGCACUUCCAGUCCACGUCGUGGCUCGCAAAUAAUGAACUUAACCAAGGAACGAGGAGGACAGAGGACUCCUCUGCAGCACCAGGUUAAGGGAUGGACAGGACCAGAAACAUCAUGGAGGAUGUCUCCCUCAUAUACGCACAGAUCAUGCUGUGGCUGUUUGGGAAAAUAUCCAACCACAGAUGUUUUAAUAAAUAAAGAUGCAUU
This is a long non-coding RNA of Mustela erminea (ermine), 2683 nucleotides long. RefSeq lists it as uncharacterized. NCBI's taxonomy places the organism in Eukaryota, Metazoa, Chordata, Mammalia, Carnivora, Mustelidae. The record is from RefSeq and is a predicted model, not a curated record. The transcript has 4 exons.